Molecule: ribosomal RNA, 394 nt
Filed under: uncultured bacterium
Lineage: Bacteria
Description: SSU rRNA
Rfam family: Bacterial small subunit ribosomal RNA
Source: RNAcentral
AGGAUGAACGCUGGCGGCGUGCCUAACACAUGCAAGUCGAACGGUAACAGGUUCUCACUGUUUGCUUCUCACUUCUCGAAUAUUUCGAGUAGAUGAAUGAGGAGUGAAGAGUGAGAAUGCUGACGAGUGGCGGACGGCUGAGUAACGCGUGGGAACAUGCCCCAAAGUGAGGGAUAACUGCUCGAAAGGGUAGCUAAUACCGCAUAUGAUCUUCGGAUUAAAGCUUUAUGCGCUUUGGGAGUGGCCCGCGUCGGAUUAGGUAGUUGGUGAGGUAAAGGCUCACCAAGCCUACGAUCCGUAGCUGGUCUGAGAGGAUGACCAGCCAGACUGGAACUGAGACACGGUCCAGACUCCGUACGGGAGGCAGCAGUGAGGAAUCUUCCACAAGUGGGGC